RNAcentral lists this long non-coding RNA (318 nucleotides) under Struthio camelus australis. RNAcentral describes it as "lncRNA (ENSSCUG00000012032.1)". Lineage: Eukaryota; Metazoa; Chordata; Aves; Struthioniformes; Struthionidae. The record is from RNAcentral.
AUGAGAGCAGUUAUGACACUGAACUGUGAAGCUCGUACCAGUACCAGAACAACUUCAGAGACACCACAACAAGAAGAGGUGCAGCCAGAUUCAGUACAAACAAGAGUUCUGAAAUGGGCUCAUAACACCCGCUCAGGAUCUGAAGCAACUGCUGCUGGAUUAAAUCGUGGUCCUUGGGAACGGAGUCCCAAGGUGGGACGAAAAUUCAACUGCAGAACCUGUGCUGCCAACUGGGAGCCACAAGUCCUAUGUGAAACUGUGCUGCUGCACAAGAUGGAUGAUGAGAGCUUUCCUUCACAAGGGAAGGCUGGAGGUAGG